GACGAACGCUGGCGGCGUGCCUAAUACAUGCCAGUCGAACGCUGAAGGAGGAGCUUGCUUCUCCGGAUGAGUUGCGAACGGGUGAGUAACGCGUAGGUAACCUGCCUGGUAGCGGGGGAUAACUAUUGGAAACGAUAGCUAAUACCGCAUAACAGUAGAUGUUGCAUGACAUUUGCUUAAAAGGUGCAAUUGCAUCACUACCAGAUGGACCUGCGUUGUAUUAGCUAGUUGGUGAGGUAACGGCUCACCAAGGCGACGAUACAUAGCCGACCUGAGAGGGUGAUCGGCCACACUGGGACUGAGACACGGCCCAGACUCCUACGGGAGGCAGCAGUAGGGAAUCUUCGGCAAUGGACGGAAGUCUGACCGAGCAACGCCGCGUGAGUGAAGAAGGUUUUCGGAUCGUAAAGCUCUGUUGUAAGAGAAGAACGAGUGUGAGAGUGGAAAGUUCACACUGUGACGGUAUCUUACCAGAAAGGGACGGCUAACUACGUG
RNAcentral lists this ribosomal RNA (495 nucleotides) under uncultured bacterium. RNAcentral's name for it is "partial 16S ribosomal RNA". It matches the Rfam family "Bacterial small subunit ribosomal RNA", at positions 28 to 507 of the family's 1533-position model. The record is from RNAcentral.